Long non-coding RNA from Physella acuta, 590 nucleotides. RefSeq lists it as uncharacterized. Lineage: Eukaryota; Metazoa; Mollusca; Gastropoda; Physidae. The record is from RefSeq and is a predicted model, not a curated record.
AUGCAUAUUCGAUCUUCGCCGUUCAUAAACUUUCUAACCAGACAUCGGUCGGGGAUUUUGUUUAUACUAAUAAAUAGAGCUAUGUUUUUACAAGCUUCGUUAGCAACAUUUUUGUGGAAUACGUUUUUUAUGACAUUUUGUGCCGCGGCGAAGGAUGCGAAGUAUGCAAAUCUAGACGGAAUGGAUCUACUUGGAAAAGUACGUGUACUGCACUAAUAAGAGUGUUUCUAAAAGCCAGAAUUUUAAAGGGGAGGGCGGUCGUUUUUUUUUCUCAAGAAUAAUUAUAGAAAUAAGCUAUAAACUGGUAUAUUUUGUAAAGUUUGACAUAAUUACAAAUAAAUGUAUGCCUAAGUGACAUUUCUGUGUAAUUAUAUUGUUAAUUUUGUGAAUUUCGUGUAUUUUUAGACCUCACUACAUUUAGAUGUAAAAAAAAAAUCUCAGUUGAGUGAGUGUGGUUAAUCUACAUUUUGAACGUGAUGUAAAUGUCUAGUGCUAUUAAUUUUUAUAUUUUUGAAUUCCUCGAUUGUUAAGCAACAAAAUUGAUAUAUAAUAUGUCAAUAAUUGUUACUUUGAAAAUUGGCGAAAAUCGA